Molecule: ribosomal RNA, 111 nt
Filed under: Ipomoea nil (Japanese morning glory)
Lineage: Eukaryota; Viridiplantae; Streptophyta; Magnoliopsida; Solanales; Convolvulaceae
Source: RNAcentral
GGAUGCGAUCAUACCAGCACUAAUGCACCGGAUCCCAUCACUGAACAGUCAGUUUUGGGCGAGAGUAGUACUAGGAUGGGUGACCCCUGGGAAGUCCUCGUGUUGCAUCCC